UGGCUGAGGAACACAACACUAUCAGGUCUGGUAAAGAUUUGGAUCAUUCAGAGAAAUCAUUAAGUAUAAGUAGUACAGGUAAUCCUCAAAUAACCACCACAACUGAGACUGGAAAUCUGGUCAUAAAUUGAGGCACCUAUGUGACCAGACCUCCUGUUGUUUUUUUUAACAUUCUGUGGAGUGGUUUUUAAGCGAAUGGCACGGUCAUUAAGAAGGGCCGUAAUAGCUCAGGCUGUUAGAAGCCUGUUAUUAGAACACAGCACCCUGCAAUUACUGCAGGUUCAAGCCCGGCCCGAGGUUGACUCAACCUUCCAUCCUUUAUAAGGUAGGUAAAAUGAGGACCCAGAUUGUUGGGGGGGCAAUAAGUUGACUUUGUAAAUAUACAAAUAGAAUGAGACUAUUGCCUUACACACUGUAAGCCGCCCUGAGUCUUCGGAGAAGGGCGGGAUAUAAAUGUAAAUAAAAAAUAAAUAAAUAAAUAAAAGUGAAUCCAUUCUUCUGAAGGGGCUUUUUUGUCAGAAACUGGCAAAAAUGACAAAAGCCAACCAAACCAAUUGCAAAUUGUGGUUAUCUAAAAAGUAGACAUAUGACUGCAGGGAUGGGGUGGGGAGUUAGACAUUUUACGAUGGAUGAAAGUGCAUUAUAGACCAUAAAGCACCCAUUCCAAGACAGUGAAAUCUCUGAACGGUCCUAAAUUGACCAGUCAUAAAUUGAGGACUACCUAUAUUAACCUUAAUUAGUUUCCUAUGGCUUUGUGAGCUGUGUGAAUCCUGCCUUUUUAAUUGUUUUAUGAUUCGGUUUAUUAUAGGUAUCCAGAAAAAAACGUUUAAUUCUGAACUCAGGUGAACAUAGCUGAUUUCUAAUAAUUAAUCUUGCAUUAAGUCAUUAAUGGUCUUUAAAGUCAACUGAAGAUGUUCAAUCACUUGUCCUUCCACAAAAUUAUACCAUCUCCACUGUGAUAUAAUUUGCAGCGUUAACCGCUGAAAUGUCUCCUUUCCGUGCACGACCCUAGCCGGGGGUGGGAUUCAGCUGAUUCAGACAGGUUCGGGAGAACCGGUUGCUAAUUUUACAUCUGGUUCGCCGAACCGGUAGUUGCAAGGGCUAGCUGACCCCACCCACCUCCACCCGUCCCAGGAGUCUCCAUGUGGCCCUUUUUGGAUGCCAGGUAAGUGCAGUGCCCACAUGGAGGCUAUGGGAGGGCGAAAAAUGGGCCUCCCGGAAGUUCCGGAAGUCAUGAAACAGGCCUGUUCCUGGCCUUCGAAGGUUUUCUGGAGCCUGAGGUAGGCUGUUUUCACCCUCCUGGAAGUUCAAGGAAAGCCUCCAGAGCCUGGGGAGGGCAAAAAACGGGCCUACUGGAAGUCCGGAAACAGGCCUGUUUCCGGCCUCCAGAGGGUCUCCGGAGCCUGGGGAAGGCUCAAGGAAAGCCUCCGGAGCCUGGAGAUGGUGAAAAUGCACCCCCCAUUGGUGCAGGAGGUUGAGUAGGCCACGCCCUCAUGGUCACGCCCACCCAGCAACUGGGCAGCGAACCAGUUGCUAAAAUUUUUCAGUCACACCCCUGGCUGUAGCAUCCAUACCAGCUAACUUUCCAUAUGAAAGGUGGUUUCCCAGUGAUCCAGCUAUAACAAAUCUCUUGCAGCACCAAGUUUAAACAUUUUCUCAAGAAACGAGGCUGUAAGGUGCCCCUUUGCCAACUUCUGAGACCCCAAUAAUUCUUGAUUUUCAGUACAACCACUUAACCAAGGCCACACAAAGUCUUAGCGAGUAUUUUUGGGAGGCAAGAUCCCACACUGCAUCUUGAUUUACACCCCGUUUUAAUUGAAGUUGUGUCUUUCAAGGGAGUCCUUUAGCGUACAUUUUUCUCUGCCUUGAUGCCAAAAUCAAUGGAAGCCUUUGAAAAAAACGAAACAAAAAAACGGAAUUUAAAGCGGUAGUCUUCAGUGACAGGCAGACAUUCAUUAAACUCAAAAGGACUUUUGUACAGUUUGGGUAAAAAGAGUGGAUUUGCCGAAGGUUUAGUUGGCAGCAUUUCGGAAGCACUUAAGAUAGAGAACCGCUGCAAGAAUAAUUGCCUUCAAAUGUGUCUCUUGACAUUGCGGUUGCGUUUAAACGUUCGCUUUUGGAACUCUUCCCUCCUUUCUUUUCAGAAAUGGUGGCGGAAGAGGUCAAACGGAAGUCUGAAGUCUAGUGGAGGACUGAUAUUAUAAAAUGAAGUAGAGUCAGAUCCUUUCCCUCCCCUCGACACCCCCCUCCAAUAUUUGAACUGAAAAAGAAAUGAUUUGAUCUAAUCUUCAUAUCCCUCCAUUGUCUUCACUGCAGAUCUAUCUGAUCUACACCUGCUAGACGGAAGUAAAGCUUUUCUCAAAUCCCUUUUAGCUCAGAUAAUCUAUUGUCUUUUUUUAAAGUUGGCGUUUAAAUUCACGAGCUGUGUAGCUGUUAGACCGAACAAUUAAAAUCUCAGGUUUUAAACCUUGUUUCUGGCAAGGAGAAAGGAGAAACUAAUUUAGUCUGCAUUUGAAUAUGAACUUUCCUAAGUCUUUAAUUGGAAGUUAGGAAAGAACUGAAACUUGGCUAACAUUCUGAAUGGGCACCUUUCCAAUGUUUGCAAUGCAACAAUUU
Molecule: long non-coding RNA, 2616 nt
Organism: Ahaetulla prasina
Lineage: Eukaryota; Metazoa; Chordata; Lepidosauria; Squamata; Colubridae
Exons: 2
Source: RefSeq, a predicted model, not a curated record